This 158-nucleotide unclassified non-coding RNA is filed under the name uncultured Helotiales. Its description in RNAcentral is "sequence contains ITS1". Lineage: Eukaryota; Fungi; Ascomycota; Leotiomycetes; Helotiales. The record is from RNAcentral.
CAGAGUUCAUGCCCUCACGGGUAGAUCUCCCACCCUUGAAAUCUAUACCUUUGUUGCUUUGGCAGGCCGCGGCCUCCGCUACCGGCUCCGGCUGGUAUGUGCCUGCCAGAGAACCCAACUCUUGUUUUUAGUGAUGUCUGAGUACUAUAUAAUAGUUA